This 84-nucleotide small RNA is filed under the name Flavobacterium sp. ov086. RNAcentral's name for it is "Flavo-1 RNA". The record is from RNAcentral. Lineage: Bacteria; Pseudomonadati; Bacteroidota; Flavobacteriia; Flavobacteriales; Flavobacteriaceae.
UUCUAGCCCAGAUGGAAACAACAUCCUUUUGUGCGGCCCCGAAACUUCGGGAGCCACAAAAGAUAUAGCAGAUCCCGAAACUUC